AUAGCUUCUUGGUCUUUUGGCUAAGAUCAAGUGUAGUAUCUGUUCUUAUUAGUUUAAUAUUUGAUAUGUCCUCUAUUUGAGGACUAUAUAGUAAAUUGAUUUUUGGACCUGGGAGAUGGAAUAGGGGCUUGCUUCAUCCACUCCAUGCAUCGACCUGAUAUUGCAGUGCCUCCAGGAACAGUGCACCAAAA
Small nuclear RNA from Anolis carolinensis (green anole), 191 nucleotides. Its record names the gene U2. It matches the Rfam family "U2 spliceosomal RNA". From Rfam's summary of the family: U2 is a small nuclear RNA (snRNA) component of the spliceosome (involved in pre-mRNA splicing). Complementary binding between U2 snRNA (in an area lying towards the 5' end but 3' to hairpin I) and the branchpoint sequence (BPS) of the intron results the bulging out of an unpaired adenosine, on the BPS, which initiates a nucleophilic attack at the intronic 5' splice site, thus starting the first of two transesterification reactions that mediate splicing. NCBI's taxonomy places the organism in Eukaryota, Metazoa, Chordata, Lepidosauria, Squamata, Anolidae. The record is from Ensembl.